Molecule: microRNA precursor, 75 nt
Filed under: Myotis lucifugus (little brown bat)
Lineage: Eukaryota; Metazoa; Chordata; Mammalia; Chiroptera; Vespertilionidae
Description: mir-9229 microRNA precursor family
Rfam family: mir-9229 microRNA precursor family
Source: Rfam by way of RNAcentral
GAGAUACCCUUAUGGGACAGGACUUGCUUCAGUGGGCUUUGGUACUCACUGAGUCUGCCCCUUGAGUGUGUCUCU